This 2205-nucleotide ribosomal RNA is filed under the name Triticum aestivum (bread wheat). RNAcentral describes it as "partial small subunit ribosomal RNA". Lineage: Eukaryota; Viridiplantae; Streptophyta; Magnoliopsida; Poales; Poaceae. The record is from RNAcentral.
GAAAAAUGGCAUGUUCCAGCCACCUCCGAUCGGCUUCCAUAACUCCCGUCCCAUCCCAUGUUCCAUGUUCAGGAACAAACAAACAAACAAACGGAACGAAAACCCCCCGACACGCCCCCAACAGACCGGACGCGGGCGCCCGCCGAUCCUCUGAAGCUUCCGCCUUUUUUCUUUCCAUCCAUCCAACAAUUCCAAUCCGCGCUGUGAUUCUUCCUCCCCUCCCCGCGCCGCCUCCCCUGAUUUCUUUUCUCCCCACCCGCCGGAUUCGGCCCCCUCCCUGCGCUCCUCAGCUGCCAUCCUCCCCCAGCCGAAAUCCGCUGCAGCGGCGGCGGCGGCGGCGCCGAGCCAGGCCAGCUGGUGCUCUGGCUGCGGGCUGAUUGAUUGCCUUCCUGCCGGUAAGGAACCCUAGCUGGUCAGCUCUUCGUCUCCCCCUUUUGCUCCGGCAGUUCGAGCGAUCAAGAACCGAAGCCCUCUCCCCUCUCCGUGCAGGCGGCGGCCGAUUCGUUUGGUCGGGCGGCGCCGUCUUCUCCGCCAAUCAAGAUCGAUCUGGGCUCUGACGGCGGCCCCUCGCGAGCUGCUGCCCAGCCGCGGCCGUCGUCGGGGACAUGAAGGCCGCGCCGCUGCCCCGCACGAGAGCGGCGGCUUCUCCGAGGCGGCGCGCGUGGAUACUCGCCGUCGCGGCCAUCGUCUCCGUCGUGGUGGUCUGGGCCUACCACUACCCGCCCCGGCAUUACGCCUCCCCCGUCAGCAACUGGCUCCCGGUGGAGCCCGACAGGGAGCUCACCGACGACGAGAGGGCCUCGCGCGUCGUCUUCGGCCACAUGCUCUCCACGCCUCCUGUUCGGUCCAGGGGGUCCAAGAUUGCCUUCAUGUUCCUCACCCCGGGCAACUUGCCGUUUGAAAAACUAUGGGAGAAAUUCUUCGAGGGUCAUGAGGGAAGAUAUACCAUAUAUGUUCACGCCUCGAGGGAGAAGCCAGAACAUGUCAGUCGCUUAUUUAUUGGUCGAGAUAUACACAGUGACAAGGUACAGUGGGGUCAGAUUUCUAUGGUUGAUGCUGAGAGGAGGUUGUUGGCGAAUGCUCUACAAGACAUUGACAACCAGCAUUUUGUGCUGCUUUCUGACAGCUGCGUACCUUUGCACAAUUUUGACUAUGUGUAUGACUACCUGAUGGGAACAAAUCUCAGUUUUAUUGACUCCUUCUAUGAUCCUGGACCACACGGAAAUUUUAGAUAUUCGCAAAAUAUGUUACCUGAGGUUAGAGAGUCUGACUUCAGGAAGGGUUCACAGUGGUUCUCAGUCAAGCGGCAACAUGCAUUGAUGACAAUCGCGGACAGUCUUUACUAUACAAAGUUCAAGCUUUAUUGUAAGCCAGGAAUGGCAGGUGGACGCAAUUGCUAUGCCGAUGAGCAUUAUAUGCCAACACUAUUCAAUAUGAUGGAUCCAAAUGGAAUAGCGAAUUGGUCCGUAACUCAUGUUGACUGGUCAGAAGGAAAGUGGCAUCCAAAAGCUUAUCGGGCGCAAGAUGUCACUCAUGGGCUCCUCAAGAAUAUAACUUCAAUCGACGUGAGCCAUCAUGUUACAAGCGAUAGCAAGAAAGUGGUUACACAGAACCCUUGCUUAUGGAAUGGAGUGAAGAAACCAUGCUACCUGUUCGCAAGGAAGUUCUACCCUGAGUCCAUGAACAACCUCAUGUACUUAUUCUCGAAUUACACCCUCUUUUGAGUGUGCUGUGCUCAUCCCACAUACUACAGGAAUUUACAGGAGGUAUUUUUGCUAUAGAAACAUGUGUACAUUUGGAAGGACAUUAGAUCUAUUGACAAGUUGGUGGAUAUAGAAGAAAAUACGGAGAAGGCAUUCGCUGCAGUAAUCGAGUGGUUCCCAAUCCCAUCUCCAUCUCAGGCCAUUUUAACUCGCUCCAGGACAUCACAUAUUUAGGACGACCAUGUCUUUUUACUAGUUUCUUUACAGAUUUUGUCACUGAUUCAGUGAUGUAUAGUAAGAUUACUGUAACUCGGAAAAGCCAUUAGAUGAUGUCCAUUAUUGGUUACACUAAUACCACUGAGUCUGCUCAAAGCUCCGUCGAAUCAUUUCGCUUGUUCAAGUGGCUGUCAUGUUUUUGCAUUUCAUAUUUCCACGGUACUUGCUUGAUUUUGAAAUAGAAGGUGCAUUUUUUUUGGAAAGUCCAAUUUUUUUUGUGACCAAA